GCCGAGGUGGUGGAAUUGGCAGACACGCUGUCUUGAGGGGGCAGUGGGGCAACCCGUAUGAGUUCGAAUCUCAUCCUCGGCACCA
This 85-nucleotide transfer RNA is filed under the name Chloroflexota bacterium. Its description in RNAcentral is "tRNA-Leu". It matches the Rfam family "tRNA". Rfam says of the family: Transfer RNA (tRNA) molecules are approximately 80 nucleotides in length. Their secondary structure includes four short double-helical elements and three loops (D, anti-codon, and T loops). Lineage: Bacteria; Bacillati; Chloroflexota. The record is from RNAcentral.